This 741-nucleotide long non-coding RNA is filed under the name Piliocolobus tephrosceles (Ugandan red Colobus). Its description in RNAcentral is "lncRNA (ENSPTEG00000021056.1)". The record is from RNAcentral. Lineage: Eukaryota; Metazoa; Chordata; Mammalia; Primates; Cercopithecidae.
GUUAUGCUCUCCCUAACCCCCAACCGUCAAGACUACUCUGCCUUUCCAUCCAAGACUCUUUCUGGAGGAAUGAGUGUUUUACCACAUGAUUGAACUUUCCCACGCCCUCCACAGAGGUUUCCUCACCCUUGAACUGAGAUCUAGAAUCCAGAUGUCUCGUCUCCAACAAGUUCAUCAACCGCAUGUUUUACAUCAAUAAAAAAAUGGCAAUAAAGCAAGAAUUUGCAGAUGGUGACGUCUUGGAAGUUUCUGUGGCACCUCUGGGCGUGGGUCCUGAAGAGUCACCUCAGAAAGACAAGGGACAUCUGCAGCUGCACAGUUCACCCGAGAAAGCAAAUGUGCUCAAGCCAUAAAUGGUGUUGGACCUGGCCAUGUGUCUUAUCUCCUGAUUGGAAUCAGGCUGAAGUCACAGGGACAUGGACCGUCUCCCUGCCCCUCCGCGACAUGUAGGAGAGCCCACAAGAACAGCAUGUUAUGUGACCAUGACCGGUGAAUCCUGAACCCCGAAGUGUAGACGCUGAAGCAAAUCUGAAUCCAUCCAUGCCCAGCCAAGACUCGUCACUGCUGCCAACCUGCAGAUGUGCCAGCAUGCAAUUCACCUGUGCUGUUAAAAGUGUCUCAUGCUUUGAGGUUGUCUGUUACCAAUAAUAUUGAAACAUAAAGACAAAUCCAACCACCUUGGAAAUACUCUGGCAGUUUCUACUAAAAUUACAAUUGUACAUUCCCUAUAAUCCAUCAAUU